GAUGAACGCUGGCGGCGUGCUUAACACAUGCAAGUCGAACGGAAAGGCUCCUGCUUGCAGGGGUACUCGAGUGGCGAACGGGUGAGUAACACGUGGGUGAUCUGCCCUGCACUUCGGGAUAAGCCUGGGAAACUGGGUCUAAUACCGGAUAGGACGAUGGUUUGGAUGCCAUUGUGGAAAGUUUUUUCGGUGUGGGAUGAGCUCGCGGCCUAUCAGCUUGUUGGUGGGGUAAUGGCCUACCAAGGCGUCGACGGGUAGCCGGCCUGAGAGGGUGUACGGCCACAUUGGGACUGAGAUACGGCCCAGACUCCUACGGGAGGCAGCAGUGGGGAAUAUUGCACAAUGGGCGCAAGCCUGAUGCAGCGACGCCGCGUGGGGGAUGACGGCCUUCGGGUUGUAAACUCCUUUCGCUAGGGACGAAGCGCAAGUGACGGUACCUGGAGAAGGAGCACCGGCUAACUACGUG
Molecule: ribosomal RNA, 466 nt
Filed under: uncultured bacterium
Lineage: Bacteria
Description: partial 16S ribosomal RNA
Rfam family: Bacterial small subunit ribosomal RNA
Source: RNAcentral